Molecule: ribosomal RNA, 499 nt
Filed under: uncultured bacterium
Lineage: Bacteria
Description: bacterial SSU rRNA
Rfam family: Bacterial small subunit ribosomal RNA
Source: RNAcentral
AUUGAACGCUGGCGGCGUGCUUAACACAUGCAAGUCGAUCGGUAACAGGUGUAGCAAUACAUGCUGACGAGAGGCGGACGGGUGAGUAAUGCUUGGGAAUCUGCCUAUUAGUGGGGGACAACCCGGGGAAACUCGGGCUAAUACCGCAUACGCUCUACGGAGGAAAGCCGGGGACCGCAAGGCCUGGCGCUAAUAGAUGAGCCCAAGUCGGAUUAGCUAGUUGGUAGGGAACGGCCUACCAAGGCGACAAUCCGUAGCUGGUCUGAGAGGACGACCAGCCACACCGGAACUGAGACACGGUCCGGACUCCUACGGGAGGCAGCAGUGGGGAAUAUUGGACAAUGGGGGCAACCCUGAUCCAGCGACGCCGCGUGGGUGAAGAAGGCCUGCGGGUUGUAAAGCCCUUUCGGUGGGGAAGAAAAGUCUCGACCUAAUACGUCGGGACCUUGACGUAACCCACUAAAGAAGCACCGGCUAACUCUGUGCCAGCCGCCGCGGU